Molecule: ribosomal RNA, 438 nt
Filed under: Halamphora sp.
Lineage: Eukaryota; Bacillariophyta; Bacillariophyceae; Naviculales; Amphipleuraceae
Description: SSU rRNA
Rfam family: Eukaryotic small subunit ribosomal RNA
Source: RNAcentral
AAAUUUAAAGGUUGUUGCAGUUAAAAAGCUCGUAGUUGGAUUUGUGGCGGUUCCUGUGGUCCGAUUUCGGUACUUUCGGGGACUGCCAUCCUUGGGUGGAUCCUGUGUGGCAUUAGGUUGUCGUGCAGGGGAUGCCCAUCGUUUACUGUGAAAAAAUUAGAGUGUUCAAAGCAGGCUUAUGCCGUUGAAUAUAUUAGCAUGGAAUAAUGAGAUAGGACCUUGGUACUAUUUUGUUGGUUUGCGCACCGAGGUAAUGAUUAAUAGGGACAGUUGUGGGUAUUCGUAUUCCAUUGUCAGAGGUGAAAUUCUUGGAUUUCUGGAAGACGAACUAAUGCGAAAGCAUUUACCAAGGAUGUUUUCAUUAAUCAAGAACGAAAGUUAGGGGAUCGAAGAUGAUUAGAUACCAUCGUAGUCGUCAUAGCUGGUUUCCUGAUGAGA